Molecule: long non-coding RNA, 559 nt
Filed under: Oryza sativa (Asian cultivated rice)
Lineage: Eukaryota; Viridiplantae; Streptophyta; Magnoliopsida; Poales; Poaceae
Description: long non-coding RNA (OSAT_LNC001819)
Source: RNAcentral
CGGGUGCACACGAGUGAGGACAAAGUGUGCAGAAAAGACAUGUGUUGGUCUGUGAGGGCAGUCUAUGACCUAUGAAAGCUAUCAGAUGUAAGUGGGCCCGGCCUGGGGGAAGGCGGGACGUUACAAAAUGGUAUCAGUCCGGGUGCACACGAGUGAGGACAAAGUGUGCAGAAAAGACAUGUAUUGGUCUGUGAGGGCAGUCUAUGACCUAUGAAAGCUAUCAGAUGUAAGUGGGCCCGGCCUGGGGGAAGGCGGGACGUUACAAAAUGGUAUCAGAGCCGACUCUCGCGGUUUCACGGGCGCGUGUGUCGCAGUUGCGCAGGCAUUGUGCGCAUGUCUGGUGUAGACCGGGAGUGGUUACACAGCAUGGCACAUGCGCUGGCACUGGACACAUGGACGUGGCCAAGAGAGGACGUUCCUGGCCUAGGGUUGAUCGACGGGGGCGUCGAUCUCUCUUAAGGGGGUGAGGGUGUAACAUCCCGGUCUAGGGCUUAAUAGGAUUAAUAGAAUACUCAUAUCAACAAGUUGCAACUUCUUUUCCGGAAGCCAAUCUCCAAAG